RNAcentral lists this ribosomal RNA (256 nucleotides) under uncultured bacterium. Its description in RNAcentral is "partial 16S ribosomal RNA". It matches the Rfam family "Bacterial small subunit ribosomal RNA", at positions 524 to 776 of the family's 1533-position model. The record is from RNAcentral.
UACAGGGGGUGCAAACGUUGCUCGGAAUCAUUGGGCGUAAAGCGCGCACGAGAGCGGUUCGUUAUGUCGGAUGUGAAAGCCCUUGGCUUAACCGAGGAAGUGCAUCCGUAAACUGGCGAGCUAGAGUACGAAAGAGGAUCGCGGAAUUCCCGGUGUAGAGGUGAAAUUCGUAGAUAUCGGGAGGAACACCGGUGGCGAAGGCGGCGAUCUGGGUCGAUACUGACGCUGAGGUGCGAAAGCGUGGGGAGCAAACAGG